This 475-nucleotide ribosomal RNA is filed under the name uncultured bacterium. RNAcentral describes it as "SSU rRNA". It matches the Rfam family "Bacterial small subunit ribosomal RNA", at positions 26 to 518 of the family's 1533-position model. The record is from RNAcentral.
AGGACGAACGCUGGCGGCGUGCCUAACACAUGCAAGUCGAACGAGGUCCAUCCGGUCGCAAGACCGGUGAAGACCUAGUGGCGAACGGGUGCGGAACACGUGAGCAACCUGCCCCGAAGACCGGGAUAACAGCGGGAAACUGCUGCUAAUACCGGAUGUCCCCACCGGUCCCGCAUGGGAUUGUGAGGAAAGGAUUCCGCUUCGGGAGGGGCUCGCGGCCUAUCAGCUUGUUGGUGAGGUAACGGCUCACCAAGGCGACGACGGGUAGCUGGUCUGAGAGGACGAUCAGCCACACUGGGACUGAGACACGGCCCAGACUCCUACGGGAGGCAGCAGUGGGGAAUCUUGCGCAAUGGGCGAAAGCCUGACGCAGCAACGCCGCGUGGGGGAUGAAGGCCUUCGGGUUGUAAACCCUUUCAGUGGGACGAAUGACGGUACCACAGAAGAGCCCGGCCAACUACGCGCCAGCAGCCGC